This 203-nucleotide long non-coding RNA is filed under the name Lathyrus oleraceus (garden pea). Its description in RNAcentral is "Pisum sativum (pea) long non-coding RNA (PSAT_LNC015320)". The record is from RNAcentral. Lineage: Eukaryota; Viridiplantae; Streptophyta; Magnoliopsida; Fabales; Fabaceae.
AAUAUUGUCUGGCCACUUAAAAUAAAGUGCCCCAUUUAUGGUAAAUCAUCACCUAGUAUUGGAAAUUCCAUCUAUUGCCUUUUCACACGCAACCUCUACUCAAACCUUUCCAACUUCCUACAACUUCAUCAAACUUAUCUGCUAGGGCAACUGAAACCUUUCCACAAAAACAACAAGAUGUCACAACAUCCAACACCAUCUGG